CGCAGCUCUCAGGCCGGGCCUGAGCCUGCAGCCUGUGUGCCCUCCAUCAUCAGGGCCCCCUCUCAGGACAGGCUACACCGAGGGUGGGACGGCGGACUUCCAGGGACACUUCCAAGUCGUGCCCAUGCAGAUACCUCAGUAUACACUGCCCACAGUUAAGAAACCACGACCUGAGACAUUGUUUUGAAGAGGUGAAAAUGCCUCCACUCAAGUGGCCCAGGAGCGUGAUCCAGGAAGACGAACACACAGAACCAUCUUCUGCAUGGUUUGAAAAUUCAGUGGAAACUAGGACUCCAAGCUGCUGUCCCCUCUCUGCCGCAUCUGAGGCUGGGAAAACUUCCUAGGAGAAGGCAAGAGAAAGCCACCAGACCAGAGCCGAGGACUAAACUUUAAGGUCGAAGACGGCAGAGGGGCAGGUUCUCCCCUGCACACCCCAAGGCCUCUCCUGCACCCGCGAGGCCUUCCUUGAGCGCCCAGGCCCCCGAAAUGCCUGCCCUCCUUCUGACAAAAGGAGGGGGUAGGAUGUGAAGGGGUAGUGCAACCAACAAUGUUUUUGUAAACACAACAACAGGGAAAUACAUGGAGGAAAUCUAUUUAUUGGGUGUGUCAUUUUUGGUGGGGGGCG
Molecule: long non-coding RNA, 625 nt
Filed under: Homo sapiens (human)
Lineage: Eukaryota; Metazoa; Chordata; Mammalia; Primates; Hominidae
Description: non-protein coding SOX1-OT:21
Source: RNAcentral